GCCUGGGUGGCUCAGUUGGUUAAGUGUCUGACUUUGGAUCAGGUCACAAUCUCACAGUUCAUGGGUUCGAGCCCUAUGUCAGGCU
RNAcentral lists this transfer RNA (85 nucleotides) under Felis catus (domestic cat). It matches the Rfam family "tRNA". Rfam says of the family: Transfer RNA (tRNA) molecules are approximately 80 nucleotides in length. Their secondary structure includes four short double-helical elements and three loops (D, anti-codon, and T loops). The record is from Rfam by way of RNAcentral. RNAcentral also lists the same sequence under 1 other name. Lineage: Eukaryota; Metazoa; Chordata; Mammalia; Carnivora; Felidae.